UUAGACUGCAAAUCUGAGGCCUGGACACCCAGCCUGACUAUGAGCCUUGAUCAACACAGGUCCUCAUUUUCUAGGCUGUACCAACCCAAGCCUGAGCCUUCAAUGGCUCAUUCCUCCUGCUACCCUGUGUAUCUUGAUUUUAGGCAGGCCUAAUAACUACAGUCAGCACCAGGAGAGAGUGUGCUAGGAUAGGAACAGUGCCCCUUACUCUCAGAGGUGGGAGGACAGGAGUAGUUGUUUCUGCCUGUGGUCAGCGUAUACUUGUUUGCCACCUGGUGUCCCCUUCUCCCUUGGAACAGCCAAUGUUUUGCACACAGAACUGGACUAGAGAGAGAGAAGCUUAGGCAGGUGUGGGUGAGUGCAGCACAGGCUGUCCGUAAGCAGUAAGAGGGCUGGCAGUAAGUACACCUGGGAACAGCUGCAGGAGAACUAGUGCAUUUAUUUGGGGGUGGGGGGUUGGGAGGAGCUAUUUAUGCCCCCUAGGGAGGUGGCCAAGAUCUCUGGGGCAAGGUUUAUGUGGCCAUAGACCCUUGAGAGUUUUGUUUUUCUAGAAUCAAACUGGCUUUUCUUAUUCAUAUACUUAGUAAUAAACAGGGUAGAACUGUA
Molecule: long non-coding RNA, 606 nt
Filed under: Rattus norvegicus (Norway rat)
Lineage: Eukaryota; Metazoa; Chordata; Mammalia; Rodentia; Muridae
Description: long non-coding RNA NONRATT009561
Source: RNAcentral